GAUGAACGCUGGCGGCGUGCUUAACACAUGCAAGUCGAACGGUGAAGGCGGAGCUUGCUCUGCUGGAUCAGUGGCGAACGGGUGAGUAACACGUGAGCAAUCUGCCCCUGACUCUGGGAUAAGCGCUGGAAACGGCGUCUAAUACUGGAUACGAGCUGCGAAGGCAUCUUCAGCAGCUGGAAAGAAUUUCGGUCAGGGAUGAGCUCGCGGCCUAUCAGCUUGUUGGUGAGGUAAUGGCUCACCAAGGCGUCGACGGGUAGCCGGCCUGAGAGGGUGACCGGCCACACUGGGACUAAGACACGGCCCAGACUCCUACGGGAGGCAGCAGUGGGGAAUAUUGCACAAUGGGCGAAAGCCUGAUGCAGCAACGCCGCGUGAGGGACGACGGCCUUCGGGUUGUAAACCUCUUUUAGCAGGGAAGAAGCGAAAGUGACGGUACCUGCAGAAAAAGCGCCGGCUAACUACGUG
RNAcentral lists this ribosomal RNA (468 nucleotides) under uncultured bacterium. RNAcentral's name for it is "partial 16S ribosomal RNA". It matches the Rfam family "Bacterial small subunit ribosomal RNA", at positions 28 to 507 of the family's 1533-position model. The record is from RNAcentral.